GACGAACGCUGGCGGCGUGCUUAACACAUGCAAGUCGAACGGAAAGGCCCUGCUCUUGCGGGGUGCUCGAGUGGCGCACGGGUGAGUAAAACGUGAGUAACCUGCACUUGACUUUGGGAUAACAUCAGGAAACUGGGGCUAAUACCGGAUAGGAGCUCCUGCUGCAUGGUGGGGGAUGGAAAGUUUCGGCGGUUGGGGAUGGUAUAGCGGGUUAUCAGCUUGUUGGUGGGGUAGUGGCUUACAAGGGCUUUGACGGGUAGCCGGCCUGGGAGGGGGACCGGCGACAUUAGGACUGAGGUAGGGCCCAGACGCGUACGGGAGGCAGCAGGGGGGAAUAUUGCACAAUGGGCGGAAGCGUGAUGCAGCAACGCCGCGUUCGUGAUGACGUCCUUCUGGUGGUAAACCGCUGUCGCCGGUGACGAAGCGGGAUUGACGGUAAUUGGUAAGGAAGCACCGGCUAACUACGUG
This 468-nucleotide ribosomal RNA is filed under the name uncultured bacterium. RNAcentral describes it as "partial 16S ribosomal RNA". It matches the Rfam family "Bacterial small subunit ribosomal RNA", at positions 28 to 507 of the family's 1533-position model. The record is from RNAcentral.